RNAcentral lists this transfer RNA (67 nucleotides) under Priacma serrata. RNAcentral's name for it is "tRNA-Leu". Lineage: Eukaryota; Metazoa; Arthropoda; Insecta; Coleoptera; Cupedidae. The record is from RNAcentral.
AUUAUCUUGGCAGAAUAGUGCGGUGGAUUUAGAAUCUAUUUAUGGGAUGUUUAGUUUUCAGAUAAUA